GUGGAGAGGAACAAUUCUGAGUCUUAAC
This 28-nucleotide non-coding RNA is filed under the name Cricetulus griseus (Chinese hamster). RNAcentral also lists the same sequence under 1 other name. The record is from RNAcentral. Lineage: Eukaryota; Metazoa; Chordata; Mammalia; Rodentia; Cricetidae.